CCGCGACGCGCAGUCUUUGCUGAUUCAAGAGCGAGAAGACCUUGUAGCUUUACUGGGCGCCGCCAUUUUGGGUGUGUGUCCAGCCGCUCUGGUGAAAUCGGUGAGACUGUUCAUUUUCAACUUAGGAAUUUCACUUACUUUGUACCUUAAAUUAUUUAUGUGCACUUAGUGAAUAUGAAGCUACAAUUUUAGUUGAACAAGCUGGUUUACUGUGUUGUUUAAUGUGUAAACUCAGCUUACUUUAUUUUGCACUUGCAUCAAAACUUUAAUUGUUCUAACGUGCAGCUUAUUGGUGCAGCUUAUCCGGUUGUGUGCAGCCGGUUAUUUUAUUUAGUUAUUUAUGUUUAUAUGCUGAAUUUGAGAGAGAGGCACAGAAAGUAAACACCCACAAUAUGUAUAUCAUUGUGUAUUGUGAAUUUCAUGUAGUGUAUAUUAUUGCAUGAGACUUAAGCAGUGAAUAUUUCUCUGACCCUGUCUGUUGACAAGUCAGGUUUUUUGUUGUGUGUGCGUGUUUCUUCUUCCAUUGUCUGGAUUGGAUCUGCGGAUGAAAAUUGAUGGCGAGCCGUCCCUCUUGAAUGAUUGUGGGAGCCAUUCCCUCUUCAGGAUCACUGGACCUGUCCCGCUACUACUGCACUUUGCGGUGGGGUAGGCCCCACUACAACACAAAACCCCUUAACUCACCUUCACACUCCUUCCCCCACACACAUACAUACACCAACCCUAUGGAACUCUGACUUACCUUCGACACAUCCAUUUUUUGUUUGGACUUUGGACUCUCUUAAACAAACUCACCUGUUCACACCUUGGGACUGAGAAUUUGGAGCUGAGUAGUAGGAAUCAUUCCUGCAGUUAAGGGUUACUGUUGUACUGUGUGAAUUCUACAGGAUUGUAUUAUUGAACUGGAUCUGAACAAACUUGAAUGUGGUGUUAUUAACAGAAAUUCAGGUUUAAAGGGUGCACCCGGGAAUUUAAUUAUAGAACUACUUCAAAGAGUGAAAUACUCAACUAAUACUAAAUUUGGAAAGCAAGCAUUUCAUGCUGAUGUCAUAGCCUGAUUGUGAUAUCAAUAAUCGCCUUAUUCAUUACUUGUUUUAUUAUUGUACUUUUUCAUUUUUGGUACCAACCAAUAUUUUUAUUUUUAUACAUAUCUUCAAAUAUAAGAAGCCGGCAUCAUCUUACAUCUAA
Molecule: long non-coding RNA, 1185 nt
Organism: Micropterus salmoides (largemouth bass)
Lineage: Eukaryota; Metazoa; Chordata; Actinopteri; Centrarchiformes; Centrarchidae
Exons: 2
Source: RefSeq, a predicted model, not a curated record